Molecule: ribosomal RNA, 934 nt
Filed under: uncultured archaeon
Lineage: Archaea
Description: bacterial SSU rRNA
Rfam family: Archaeal small subunit ribosomal RNA
Source: RNAcentral
UUCCGGUUGAUCCUGCCGGACCCUACUGCUAUCGGGGUGAGACUAAGCAAUGCAAGUCGUGCGCCUCAAGCCAUGGUGAGGCGCGGCAAACGGCUCAGUAACACGUGGCUAACCUACCCUUAGGACGGGGACAACCCCGGGAAACUGGGGCUAAUCCCAGAUAGGUGAAGAAGCCUGGAAUGACUCUUCGCUCAAAUGGCGUUGGGGACAUGCUUCCCAGCGUUGCCUAAGGAUGGGGCCGCGGCCGAUCAGGUUGUUGGUGAGGUAACGGCCCACCAAGCCUUUAACCGGUACGGGCCAUGAGAGUGGGAGCCCGGAGAUGGGCACUGAGACAAGGGCCCAGGCCCUACGGGGUGCAGCAUGCGCGAAACCUCCGCAAUGCGCGAAAGCGUGACGGGGUUACCCCGAGUGCCGUCCGCUGAGGAUGGCUUUUCUCCUGUGUAAGGAGCCGGAGGAAUAAGGGGAGGGCAAGACUGGUGUCAGCCGCCGCGGUAAUACCAGCUCCCCGAGUGGUGGGGAUGCUUAUUGGGCCUAAAGCAUCCGUAGCUGGUUGGGCAAGUUCUCCGUUAAAUCCAACGAUUCAAUCGUUGGGCUGCGGGGAAUACUGUCCGACUAGGGGGCGGGAGAGGCCGACGGUAUUCUCGGGGUAGGGGUGAAAUCCUAUAAUCCCGGGAGGACCACCAGUGGCGAAGGCUGUCGGCUAGAACGCGCCCGACGGUGAGGGAUGAAAGCUGGGGGAGCGAACCGGAUUAGAUACCCGGGUAGUCCCAGCUGUAAACGAUGCAGGCUAGGUGUUGGCGCGGCUACGUGCCGCUCUAGUGCCGCAGGGAAGCCCGUUAAGCCUGCCGCUGGGAAGUACGGCGCAAGCUGAAACUUAAAGGAAUUGGCCGGGAGCACCACAAGGCUGUGAAGCUUGCGGUUUAAAUUGAAGUCA